UACGUAGGGUGCGAGCGUUGUCCGGAAUUAUUGGGCGUAAAGGGCUCGUAGGCGGUUUGUCGCGUCGGGAGUGAAAACCCAGGGCUUAACCCUGGGCUGGCUUCCGAUACGGGCAGACUAGAGGUAUGCAGGGGAGAACGGAAUUCCUGGUGUAGCGGUGAAAUGCGCAGAUAUCAGGAGGAACACCGGUGGCGAAGGCGGUUCUCUGGGCAUUACCUGACGCUGAAGCGCGAAAGCUAGGGGAGCAAACGGG
RNAcentral lists this ribosomal RNA (253 nucleotides) under uncultured bacterium. RNAcentral describes it as "partial 16S ribosomal RNA". It matches the Rfam family "Bacterial small subunit ribosomal RNA", at positions 524 to 776 of the family's 1533-position model. The record is from RNAcentral.